AGCGGCGGACGGGUGAGUAAUGCCUAGGAAUCUGCCUGGUAGUGGGGGAUAACGCUCGGAAACGGACGCUAAUACCGCAUACGUCCUACGGGAGAAAGCAGGGGACCUUCGGGCCUUGCGCUAUCAGAUGAGCCUAGGUCGGAUUAGCUAGUUGGUGAGGUAAUGGCUCACCAAGGCGACGAUCCGUAACUGGUCUGAGAGGAUGAUCAGUCACACUGGAACUGAGACACGGUCCAGACUCCUACGGGAGGCAGCAGUGGGGAAUAUUGGACAAUGGGCGAAAGCCUGAUCCAGCCAUGCCGCGUGUGUGAAGAAGGUCUUC
RNAcentral lists this ribosomal RNA (322 nucleotides) under uncultured bacterium. RNAcentral describes it as "bacterial SSU rRNA". It matches the Rfam family "Bacterial small subunit ribosomal RNA", at positions 94 to 419 of the family's 1533-position model. The record is from RNAcentral.